ACCACGUCGCCAGGAGGCCCCGACUGCCACUCAACGCUUCGCCUUCACCGGCUUUCCAGACAUGGCUGAUGCAUGGGCUCCGGCUGCUGGCAAGAGGCCUCAGUGCCUCUCUGCCUAGGCCUCUCCACGGAGCUCCUCGGUGCCUUGGCCACACAGCAGUGGGGUCCCCCUAGAGCGAGCACCAAGGAGACCAAGGUGAGAAGACAAGCUCCUGGUGCCCCCACCGACCUCGUGCUCAGCAUGGCAGCCGUGGUCCUGCCUCCCACUUGCAUCUCUCAGCAAACAGGUUGCACAGAGUUGACACUGGCUAAGGAGUCCCUGACCAGCUG
Ochotona princeps (American pika) is the source of this 329-nucleotide long non-coding RNA. RefSeq lists it as uncharacterized. Lineage: Eukaryota; Metazoa; Chordata; Mammalia; Lagomorpha; Ochotonidae. The transcript has 3 exons. The record is from RefSeq and is a predicted model, not a curated record.